GACGAACGCUGGCGGCGUGCUUAACACAUGCAAGUCGAACGGAAAGGCCUGCUUUCCCCUGUGGAUUGCGGGUACUCGAGUGGCGAACGGGUGAGUAACACGUGAGUGAUCUGCCCCCAACUUGGGUAUAAGCCUGGGAAACUGGGUCUAAUUCCCGAUAGGACUGCAGGGUGGUGCCUGUGGUGGAAAACGAUUUUCUAGUGGUUGGGGAUGAGCUCGCGGCCUAUCAGCUUGUUGGUGGGGUAAUGGCCUACCAAGGCGGCGACGGGUAGCCGGCCUGAGAGGGUGGACGGCCACAUUGGGACUGAGAUACGGCCCAGACUCCUACGGGAGGCGGCAGUGGGGAAUAUUGCACAAUGGGCGGAAGCCUGAUGCAGCGACGCCGCGUGGGGGAUGACGGCCUUCGGGUUGUAAACUCCUUUCGACCGCGAGGAAGCCACCUGGUUGGAAGGGUGGUGACGGUAGUGGUAGAAGAAGCACCGGCUAACUACGUG
Molecule: ribosomal RNA, 494 nt
Filed under: uncultured bacterium
Lineage: Bacteria
Description: partial 16S ribosomal RNA
Rfam family: Bacterial small subunit ribosomal RNA
Source: RNAcentral